This is a long non-coding RNA of Mauremys mutica (yellowpond turtle), 889 nucleotides long. RefSeq lists it as uncharacterized. The record is from RefSeq and is a predicted model, not a curated record. The transcript has 3 exons. Lineage: Eukaryota; Metazoa; Chordata; Testudines; Geoemydidae.
GGAUCUGAUGAUUUUAGAAGCAAGUGGCUGUCUCCCGAUUCCCUGAGAUCCUGCUUAGACAAUCAGACAACAAAUCUCCUGUACAAAGAAAAGAGAAUCAGAUUUUUUGAUAUUUUCCCAUAGAACAAGAAUACUAUGAUGUUUGAUGCAAAAUGAAAAGGCACAGGAGGAAUUGCCUGGUCACUCUGUGGGAUUGAUGUCAACCUAAUUCACUUAUAGUUACCUGGAUCAUCUUGCCUGCUCUUUUUGAAUAUUGGCCUACCAUUAACACUCUUCCAGUCUUCUGGUAUUUCCCUACUGUAUUAACAAUAAUCAGUGGAACAGAGAUCUCCUCAGCGAACUCUUUUCGGACUCUGUGGUGCAAGUUAUCCAGCAGACUGAUACAGAGGAGACACAGCCCCUGCCCUCUCUUGUGGAGACUUUACUUUUGUUGUUCCUGCUUGAUUUCACUCUUCUAAAAUAUAAAAGCAAAGUUUGUCUCGGCUCCAACCCUUGCCCCUAUAUGAUGCUUCGGCAGCAGAAGGAGGCUGUAAAAGAACGACAAGGGGCUGGCAAAGAAUUCGCCCAAAGCAUGAGCAGCAGACGGCUGCCAUAAUAGGUGUCUGCUGUCCCUGUUGCAAGCACUGGAGUUGGGGUGGUGCUGGAGAUGCGGCUGGAGGCUGUCAGGUCUAAGGCGGCAAUGCCUGUAGUACUGAGCACUGCAGAGAAGCGAGGCUGCUCCAGGCUGUGGAGUUACUCACAGGCAUCCUGAGUAAAGCAGAUGUAAGGAAGAGCAGCCACUGGGGUGAUUCUAAUAUAUGGUGGGACCACUCCUGCCCCCACAUGGCCUAGAAUGUGGGCUGUGCCAUAAGCAUUGAACCUCCGAGAGCAUUAAACAACAGCUCAGAUG